GGGGAUAUAGUUAAAAAAUAACAUCUAAAUUGCAACUAGAAGAUACUAAAAAGUUUUCCUCA
RNAcentral lists this transfer RNA (62 nucleotides) under Opistholeptus burmanus. Its description in RNAcentral is "tRNA-Ala". Lineage: Eukaryota; Metazoa; Arthropoda; Insecta; Hemiptera; Pachygronthidae. The record is from RNAcentral.